CGGGAAUGCCUUGACCUUUUCUGGUCUGAUGGACUUCUUGUUAAGGGAGGUUUUGGUACCUGACAAUAAUAGAUGUUGAAACUAAAUUUCUCCCCCCUCCCUCCUGCUUUUGGGUAGUUUUCCACUUCUGCUGCUUGGGGUAUAAAAAAAGUGUGUUAGCAAUAAAGUGUGUGACUCCUGGAUGAAGAACCUUGGUGUCCUGUGUGUCUUUUAACCUCGCCGUCCCUCGCUGGACUCGGCUCCCUUGGCCGGACGCGGCACCGAUCUGCCUUAGAUGUGUGGAGGUAACUUUAGCUACAUUUUAGACUAAAAAUGUCCCUAGUAUGCUUCUCCUGUAAGGGACCAAAAGUCAAUAGAACCGCCAGCUUUUCUGUUCUCACCUUUUACACCCCUUUUAGCUGUGUUUUAAAGAACUUUGAUAAACUUUACUCCCCUUUGUUAAAUGAGAUUAGGGAAGCAAUGUUUUCUUUUCUUCCUGUAGUUGGCUUGAGUGCACCCACUGCAGAGGGAAAUGCCUGCUGGGGACCUAAGGACUUUGAUACCUCGCUUUUUCUUUUUCUCAAAACCCUGUCCUCAUUAUUAAAUUGGCAUUAAUUGGCUUCAAGAACAAGAACUGAAUUUUCAGUUACAAAUUUUGACACCCCAGGGAGGAGCCUCCCCUCUGCUUUCUUGGGGAACCUAGCACUCUGAACAACUGCAUGCCGAGGAUGUAAGAUGAACUUUUGGGGAGCCGACUACUGAAAAGUUAGGAGAUAGGGAGAGUGCCUGGUGCCUAGGGUGGGACCAAACCAGAGGAACUAAUCCUAUAAAUAAAAGGAGGGACUGAGGGACUCCCAGCAGCUGCCAAAGCCAUUUUGCUUUGGGGAACUUCCUCAUUUCUUCCCUGCACUGUAAGGAUUGCUCCGUCUCUGUCUACUUAAAAAGAAGAGGACACUGAAUGCAGUAAAGUCGCCACACCAAGACCCUUGAUUUUACAUCUAUAGUUGCCCCUAUGUGAAAACAUCUGGUCCACUCGUGGGGAAAUCUAUGGUGCCACUGAUGUAGGAGUCAUAAUUAAAUGAGUUAGAAACCUGGGGAGAUUUUUCUCUUAUGUGGUCUGUCUGUUUUAAAGGUUAUUAUGGAUUGAUUCUUGGAGAUAAUCUAGGCUAAAUGUGUGUCUAAAAGACGGUUUUUUAUUGUAACAAUCUGGUAUCUGAAUGGGGUUUUGAAGCAUUGCAUAAUCUUGAAGUUAAAAGUUGGAU
RNAcentral lists this long non-coding RNA (1241 nucleotides) under Marmota monax (woodchuck). Lineage: Eukaryota; Metazoa; Chordata; Mammalia; Rodentia; Sciuridae. The record is from RNAcentral.